AUGGACGAAAGUCUGACGGAGCAACGCCGCGUGAACGAUGAAGGCCUUCGGGUCGUAAAGUUCUGUUGUUAGGGAAGAACAAGUACCGUUCAAAUAGGGCGGUACCUUGACGGUACCUAACCAGAAAGCCACGGCUAACUACGUGCCAGCAGCCGCGGUAAUACGUAGGUGGCAAGCGUUGUCCGGAAUUAUUGGGCGUAAAGCGCGCGCAGGCGGUUUCUUAAGUCUGAUGUGAAAGCCCACGGCUCAACCGUGGAGGGUCAUUGGAAACUGGGGAACUUGAGUACAGAAGAGGAGAGUGGAAUUCCACAUGUAGCGGUGAAAUGCGUAGAUAUGUGGAGGAACACCAGUGGCGAAGGCGACUCUCUGGUCUGUAACUGACGCUGAGGCGCGAAAGCGUGGGGAGCAAACAGGAUUAGAUACCCUGGUAGUCCACGCCGUAAACGAUGAGUGCUAGGUGUUAGGGGUUUCGAUGCCCUUAGUGCCGAAGUUAACACAUUAAGCACUCCGCCUGGGGAGUACGACCGCAAGGUUGAAACUCAAAGGAAUUGACGGGGGCCCGCACAAGCAGUGGAGCAUGUGGUUUAAUUCGAAGCAACGCGAAGAACCUUACCAGGUCUUGACAUCCUUUGACCACUUGAGAGAUCAAGCUUUCCCCUUCGGGGGACAAAGUGACAGGUGGUGCAUGGUUGUCGUCAGCUCGUGUCGUGAGAUGUUGGGUUAAGUCCCGCAACGAGCGCAACCCUUGAUCUUAGUUGCCAGCAUUCAGUUGGGCACUCUAAGGUGACUGCCGGUGACAAACCGGAGGAAGGUGGGGAUGACGUCAAAUCAUCAUGCCCCUUAUGACCUGGGCUACACACGUGCUACAAUGGAUGGUACAAAGGGCAGCGAAACCGCGAGGUUAAGCAAAUCCCAUAAAGCCAUUCUCAGUUCGGAUUGUAGGCUGCAACUCGCCUGCAUGAAGCCGGAAUUGCUAGUAAUCGCGGAUCAGCAUGCCGCGGUGAAUACGUUCCCGGGCCUUGUACACACCGCCCGUCACACCA
Molecule: ribosomal RNA, 1043 nt
Filed under: uncultured bacterium
Lineage: Bacteria
Description: bacterial SSU rRNA
Rfam family: Bacterial small subunit ribosomal RNA
Source: RNAcentral